RNAcentral lists this small RNA (610 nucleotides) under Danio rerio (zebrafish). Its description in RNAcentral is "gas5-006". The stretch from base 379 to 463 matches the Rfam family "Small nucleolar RNA snR60/Z15/Z230/Z193/J17". The record is from RNAcentral. Lineage: Eukaryota; Metazoa; Chordata; Actinopteri; Cypriniformes; Danionidae.
CAGGUCGAGUCUUUCAAUUAUCUUAGGCUAAUGUGGAACAGCAGAUCCUGAGUCUCAAGUGUUAAAAAUAAACACCAGGACUCUGCUGUUGGUCUGAAUCAUCUCCAAGGGUCAUGUGCUCUGCAGUUCAACUUGAAGGUUGCCUAAAAAGGUGGAUCAAGCUGUAUGGAGAUGGCGUCAGUUGACUUGAGGUUCCCCAAGAAGAUUGAAAAUGUAUGAAGACUCCAGCUGAUAUGGUAAACAAAUUGUUGUCUUUAAGUGAGAAGUUAACUUUUAAUUGUGUAGUAUCUCAAUGUUUUAGUAAAAUUGUAAUGCAAUGGUGCCCUUUUUUCCAAACUUGACUUUUAUAACCUAAAUUCUAUAACGCCACCCCUAAUUGUGAUGCAAAUGAUGACUGCAUAGUUCAGCAGAAUUUCCAUGUAGAACACAGAGCAAUGUCUUUCGCUCCUAGCUGAUGCAUCACCACAGUCCUAUUUCAAUAAUGCUCCACUCAUUGCCCAUGCUCACUUGUUGUUUCUCAUUGCAGCAAGAUGUCUGCAUGUGGCCAAUCGUUUCAGAUUUUCUGACUUAAAAUGGAGAUGAAUGACCCGUCAUUAAAGUAGUCUUCAUG